Long non-coding RNA from Mya arenaria, 812 nucleotides. RefSeq lists it as uncharacterized. NCBI's taxonomy places the organism in Eukaryota, Metazoa, Mollusca, Bivalvia, Myida, Myidae. The transcript has 3 exons. The record is from RefSeq and is a predicted model, not a curated record.
CAUACAUUCUAAUGUUAUUGGUUUAUAACCUUAUUAAUGUUAAUUGUUCUUUAACCUUACACACUAUACACUUUUCUAAAGCAAAACAAGAACAUAAAUAAUUCAGUUUUGUAUUCUUUAGAAAUUAGAAGCCUUUUGGCUUUUAUCAGUGUGCUCUGUUUAUUGGCCAAGCUAUUUCUCACAGUACAUAUUGCCUGGGCUUAUCAGAUUAUCUAAGGUCAGGCAGAAAAUUUCAGUGAGUAUGCAGUGAAUCAGGGCUCAGUAGCCAAUUAGAUCAGUGGAUUUCAAAUGUUCAAGCGGGUUUUCUGGUUUUCUUGAUGUAAACACGGCAGCCAUGGUGAUUUAACCUUCUGAAGAUUCUUAUUGUUUUGCUGGAUAUAAUCAGGAUCUCUCAUGGUUUGAAGAUGGCUUUAAUAUUCAAUGACGAGGGAGAAAACAAGAUCUGAAAGUAACAGUUGGAGCAUAUAAAGCAGACCUUACCCUCAAAAAAGAUUGUGUGACGUCAUAGUUGCUGGUCAGAAUACAUUUGGAUCUAGACUGGAAAAAAAGGCAUCAUCAAUCCAGCAAGUUGAGUCUGUGUUAAAAAAGUGAAAAUAACAAUUGACAUAAAACUCACAGACGAUUCCAAAACACUAUAACUUUUAUUUUCAAAUAAGUCUUUGUUAGGAAUUAGUGUCUCUUUAUUUCAUGAUAAAUUUAUAUUGCAGAUUAUAUCAUUAUAAUCAGUGUAUUGAUUUUAAAAUCAGAAAAAAAUAAACUCAUGGAAAUGUAAAUAAAGUAUAUAAUAUAAUAAAUAAUAUGAAAGAAAAUUA